AUUGAACGCUGGCGGCAGGCCUAACACAUGCAAGUCGAGCGAGCGGCGGACGGGUGAGUAAUGUCUGGGAAACUGCCUGAUGGAGGGGGAUAACUACUGGAAACGGUAGCGAAUACCGCAUACCAUCAGAUGUGCCCAGAGUGGAUUAGCUAGUCGUUGGGGGAACGGCUCACCUAGGCGACGAUCCCUAGCUGGUCUGAGAGGAUGACCAGGAACACUGGAACUGAGACACAGUCCAGACUCCUACGUGAGGCAGCAGUGGGGAAUAUUGAACAAUGGGCGCAAGCCUGAUGCAGCCAUGCCGCGUGUGUGAAGAAGGCCUUCGGGUUGUAAAGCACUUUCAGAGGGGAGGCGUUAACCGCAGAAGAAGCACCGGCUAACUCCGUGCCAGCAGCCGCGGUAAUUC
Molecule: ribosomal RNA, 406 nt
Filed under: uncultured bacterium
Lineage: Bacteria
Description: partial 16S ribosomal RNA
Rfam family: Bacterial small subunit ribosomal RNA
Source: RNAcentral